RNAcentral lists this ribosomal RNA (198 nucleotides) under uncultured bacterium. Its description in RNAcentral is "partial 16S ribosomal RNA". It matches the Rfam family "Bacterial small subunit ribosomal RNA", at positions 335 to 524 of the family's 1533-position model. The record is from RNAcentral.
ACUCCUACGGGAGGCAGCAGUGGGGAAUAUUGGACAAUGGGGGGAACCCUGAUCCAGCCAUGCCGCGUGUGUGAAGAAGGCCUUUUGGUCGUAAAGCACUUUAAGCGAGGAGGAGGCUACUUGGAUUAAUACUCUAGGAUAGUGGACGUUACUCGCAGAAUAAGCACCGGCUAACUCUGUGCCAGCAGCCGCGGUAAU